UAGAGUUUUGAUCCUGGCUCAGGAUGAACGCUAGCGGCAGGCUUAACACAUGCAAGUCGAGGGGCAUCGGGAGGAAGCUUGCUUUCCUUGCCGGCGACCGGCGCACGGGUGAGUAACACGUAUGCAACCUGCCCUCUUCAGGGGGACAACCUUCCGAAAGGGAGGCUAAUCCCGCGUAUAUCGGUUUCGGGCAUCCGAGAUCGAGGAAAGAUUCAUCGGAAGAGGAUGGGCAUGCGGCGCAUUAGCUUGACGGCGGGGUAACGGCCCACCGUGGCGACGAUGCGUAGGGGUUCUGAGAGGAAGGUCCCCCACACUGGUACUGAGACACGGACCAGACUCCUACGGGAGGCAGCAGUGAGGAAUUUUCCGCAAUGGGCGAAAGCCUGACGGAGCAAUGCCGCGUGGAGGUGGAAGGCCUACGGGUCGUCAACUUCUUUUCUCGGAGAAGAAACAAUGACGGUAUCUGAGGAAUAAGCAUCGGCUAACUCUGUG
This 492-nucleotide ribosomal RNA is filed under the name uncultured Bacteroidota bacterium. RNAcentral's name for it is "bacterial SSU rRNA". It matches the Rfam family "Bacterial small subunit ribosomal RNA", at positions 1 to 507 of the family's 1533-position model. Lineage: Bacteria; Pseudomonadati; Bacteroidota. The record is from RNAcentral.